Molecule: ribosomal RNA, 515 nt
Filed under: uncultured bacterium
Lineage: Bacteria
Description: bacterial SSU rRNA
Rfam family: Bacterial small subunit ribosomal RNA
Source: RNAcentral
GACGAACGCUGGCGGCAUGCCUAAUACAUGCAAGUCGAGCGGAAUGACGAGAGCUUGCUCUCUGAUUUUAGCGGCGGACGGGUGAGUAACACGUGGGCAACCUGCCCUACAGAUGGGGAUAACUCCGGGAAACCGGGGCUAAUACCGAAUAAUCAGUUUGUCCGCAUGGACGAACUCUGAAAGACGGUUUCGGCUGUCACUGUAGGAUGGGCCCGCGGCGCAUUAGCUAGUUGGUGGGGUAAUGGCCUACCAAGGCGACGAUGCGUAGCCGACCUGAGAGGGUGAUCGGCCACACUGGGACUGAGACACGGCCCAGACUCCUACGGGAGGCAGCAGUAGGGAAUCUUCCACAAUGGACGAAAGUCUGAUGGAGCAAUGCCGCGUGAGCGAAGAAGGUUUUCGGAUCGUAAAGCUCUGUUGUAAGGGAAGAACAAGUACGGGAGUAACUGUCCGUACCUUGACGGUACCUUAUUAGAAAGCCACGGCUAACUACGUGCCAGCCGCCGCCGUAACAC